Molecule: long non-coding RNA, 503 nt
Filed under: Elaeis guineensis (African oil palm)
Lineage: Eukaryota; Viridiplantae; Streptophyta; Magnoliopsida; Arecales; Arecaceae
Description: long non-coding RNA (EGUI_LNC037726)
Source: RNAcentral
AAUGCUCAAAGUACUCUUUCUCACUACAAUAGUUCUCUUCUUUUAGUUCCCCUUAUUUUUCUUUUAAGUCUUGUUGAUUCCCUCCAAGUUCAGAUUGAUUUGAACCCAAAAGUAGCUAUUUUGGACUAUUGGAGAUGGAAAAUAGCUAUUGAAAAUAAGUCUAGAUGAAAUUAUGCUCGUUGCAUAAUGAGCCAUUACGCCUGUCAGAAGCACUUGAGUCGGCUUGGUUUGGAUUCGAGUCGGCUUCAUUAUUUUUCAAGUCGGCUUGACUUCGGUUCUCAAAAAAUCUAACAUUCUAUUCAUCUGAGAGAGUCAGCUUCAAUUUGGAUCGAGUUAGCUCGGUUAUCAAUAACUCAAAUUUCAGUCUUCUAUCCUUUUGAGAGAGCUGGCUUCGAUUUGAAUCGAGUCGACUUGAUUCUCUGUAACUUGAUUUUCAGCUUUUCAUCCUUCUAAGAGAGCUGGCUCGAAUUCAAUCGAGUCAACUCGAUUUCAUGCCAAGCCAA